UACGUAGGGGGCAAGCGUUGUCCGGAUUUAUUGGGCGUAAAGAGCGUGUAGGCGGUUCGGUAGGUCCGUUGUGAAAACUCGAGGCUCAACCUCGAGACGCCGAUGGAAACCCCCGAACUAGAGUCCGGAAGAGGAGAAUGGAAUUCCUGGUGUAGCGGUGAAAUGCGCAGAUAUCGGGAAGAACACCCGUGGCUAAGGCGGUUCUCUAGUACGGUACUGACGCUGAGACGCGAAAGCGUGGGGAGCGAACAGG
This 253-nucleotide ribosomal RNA is filed under the name uncultured bacterium. RNAcentral describes it as "partial 16S ribosomal RNA". It matches the Rfam family "Bacterial small subunit ribosomal RNA", at positions 524 to 776 of the family's 1533-position model. The record is from RNAcentral.